Molecule: long non-coding RNA, 2359 nt
Filed under: Solanum tuberosum (potato)
Lineage: Eukaryota; Viridiplantae; Streptophyta; Magnoliopsida; Solanales; Solanaceae
Description: long non-coding RNA (STUB_LNC009243)
Source: RNAcentral
AAGAAGAGAUGUCCACAUCUCUUUGAAUUCGGAGGGAAUACAGAUCAAGGUACUAAUUCUCUUCUUAGUACUCUUUGAAUUAUGAAUGAGCAUGUUGAUUGCUGCAUUUACUUGUUGGGUGUUUGAACUAGAUGUUACCGCCCUUAGCCUAGUGAAACAAAGCUCAUUCGAGGACGAAUGUUCCCAAGAGGGAGAUAUUGUAACAUCUUGCACCUAGAAAUGACUAUAAAGAGUUUAAAAUAUGAAAAUAUUGAUUUAUGGAAAGAAUAAGGAAAUCUGGAAAUUUUGUCUAAGUUAAGAAAGUAAGUUUUGGCCAUUUUCAAACGGCCAUAACUCCUAGCUCAGGAGGAUUUUAGGAGAAGAUCUUGAUAUGGUUGGAAAUCCCUUGGAGAUAUCUUUCCAAUGCCGCCGAGAUUGCACGAUUUCGACAUCGUAUGAGUGACAUAUGCCUUUUGGAAGUUGGGUUGUUAGAUUGAGGAAAGUCCUAAUCUGGAUUUAGGGAAGGGCAAAGUAGUCUUUUCUCUAAUUAAUUUCCUAAUUCAUUUUUUAAGGAUUUUAUUGGGGUAAAAACAUGACUUAGUCAGUUUGGAGAAUUGAGAAAUAACGCUUAGGGCUUGGAGAAAAAGAGAAAAGAAGAAAGAAAGGGAGAAAAAGGCAAGAAUUCGUCAAGAUCAUCCAAGUUUGCGAGUGGAAUUCGUUGGGGUGAUCCCUAUUAAGGUAUGUGAGAUCUUUUCAUGUUGGGUUAGUUCACCCACACAACAACUUGUUUCAAUCCAUUGAUUUUGAGUUGUGUACAUGUUGAAGAAGUGAGGUUCUUGAAGAACAAAUUGUAGAAUUCUUGUAGGUUGAGUUGUUGAUGCUUGGGGGUGAAUUGAUUCAUGUUUCCGGGUUGUUUUCAAGUUAGAUUGGUUGUAUAUUGAGGGUCCAAUUGAUCCUAAGUGUUUGGGGAAAUAAUUAUGGAAGUUAAGGGAGUUUAGAGAUGAAAACGGAAUAGAAAAGUCGAAAGUCACUGGCAAAAAGGACUGGACGUCGCGCCUGCUUGAGCACCACAAAAACUUCUUUGAAGUUUGGCCUUUGGCGUGUCACGCCAGCCAGAGCGCCAGCCAGGCUUCUCUGAAGUUUGAGGGCUGGAUCCCCGUGCCUCUCAGAGCGCCAGGGACGCCAGUUCUCCCCAUUCGUUCCCCAUCUUUUAGUACUAGUUCCUAGGUGAUGUACCUAUGUUUCCUAGUUGAUUCUAACACUCUAAGGUACAUCUAAACAUCAUGAAAUCAUCCAUAAAAAUGAGAUCAUGAACCUUGAAUCCAUAAUCCAAUUCAAGGAAAGUUAAGAUCAAAGUCAAAGAAGUUAAAAGCCAAGUCUAGAAGUUAAGAAGCAAGUCAAAGCAAAGUUUCUUAAAGUUUUCAAGAGUCUUUAACAAUGUUCUAACUUCGUUUUAAGACUCAAGUUUUCAAGUUAAGCAAAGAGUAAAGAGUUGAGUCCAUUUCUCAAAAAAGGGAACUAAGCAUUCCCAAAGAGUUUAUAAAUGUUUUCACAUUUGAGCAAGAAAAGGGAACAUCGAUUCCAAGAGAGCUUUUAAGCUAAGUUUUGAGUAAUUAUCUCAAUUCAAAGAAAGAGUUUUGUUUUUACAAAUAUAUGAACUAAGUAUAUUUUGGGAGUAGUGUUGAGCACUGAUAUGGGGAUGCGAGUUCAUAUUAACUCAAGUCUCCAUAAACCAUGUAGCCAUCAUGAGUAGUAAAAGAUCAUACUUUUUAGAUGACUUCUUAAGAUGCUUUUAGCAUAGACUAGUGGAUCCACUAAGUUAAGCGUUCUAUAUGACGGCAAAGUAUAGGACAGUUCUGGCAGCGUAGGCAAGACGUUGUAUCACCACUUAGGCUCAUAGUGGUGGUUGUCGGUUAGAGAAUCUCCUACAAAAGUUAUAUUACUUUUAUAUUAAGUAAAGUUGAGUUUGUUAUUACUUUAUUUUUAACGAACUAAGUUGUUUACACUGUUUUACAAGCUUUAUAUAUAUUGCAUGUGUCUUAUUGCUUUAUAUUGAGUUCAGUUGUUCAUGAGUUAAACAGAGCCAAGGUAAGUGUUCCUUUGUACUCCUUUCAAGCUUAAGUUGUUGUUUAGCUUUCCAACUCACAUACUCGUAUAUUCAAUGUACUGAUGCCAGUUGGCCUGCAUCUUAUUAAGAUGCAGACACAGGUAAUCAGGAUCAGCAUCCAGCACGCCGUUGAUCCAGUUGAGUACUCUAGAGUCGGUGGUGAGCCUCCUUACAUUCCGAAGGACUCUGUUAUUUCGCUUUACUAGUUUUGCUUUAUUAGAAUGUUGUGGGGUCUGUCCCAACAUCCAUCUCAGUAUUAUAGAGGCUUCAUAG